AGAGCGAACGCUGGCGGCAGGCCUAACACAUGCAAGUCGAGCGCCCGUAGCAAUACGGGAGCGGCAGACGGGAUAGUAACACGUGGGAACGCGCCCUUCGGUUCGGAAUAACUCAGGGAAACUUGAGCUAAUACCGGAUACGCCCUUACGGGGAAAGAUUUAUUGCCGAAGGAACGGCCCGCGUCCGAUUAGCUAGUUGGUGAGGUAAUGGCUCACCAAGGCGACGAUCGGUAGCUGGUCUGAGAGGAUGACCAGCAUCACUGGGACUGAGACACGGCCCAGACUCCUACGGGAGGCAGCAGUGGGGAAUAUUGGACAAUGGGGGCAACCCUGAUCCAGCGACGCCGCGUGUGUGAAGAAGGCCUGCGGGUUGUAAAGCACUUUUAGUGGGAUGAAAAGCUCAGGGUUAACACCUCUGGGUCUUGACCUAACCACAGAAAAGCAACCGGCUAACUCUGUGCCAGCAGCCGC
This 471-nucleotide ribosomal RNA is filed under the name uncultured bacterium. RNAcentral describes it as "SSU rRNA". It matches the Rfam family "Bacterial small subunit ribosomal RNA", at positions 26 to 518 of the family's 1533-position model. The record is from RNAcentral.